ACGGGAGGCAGCAGUGAGGGAUAUUGCACAAUGGGGGAAACCCUGAUGCAGCGACGUCGCGUGAGGGAAGAAGGUUUUUGGAUUGUAAACCUCUGUCUUUGGAGAAGAUAAUGACGGUAUCCGAAGAGGAAGCUCCGGCUAACUACGUGCCAGCAGCCGCGGUAAUACGUAGGGGGCGAGCGUUGUCCGGAAUUACUGGGUAUAAAGGGAGCGUAGGCGGGUUUGUAAGUUGAAUGUGAAAUUUAUGGGCUUAACUCAUAAACUGCGUUCAAAACUGCAGAUCUUGAGUAGAGUAGAGGCAGGCGGAAUUCCUAGUGUAGCGGUGAAAUGCGUAGAUAUUAGGAGGAACACCAGUGGCGAAGGCGGCCUGCUGGGCUUCAACUGACGCUGAGGCUCGAAAGCAUGGGGAGCAAACAGGAUUAGAUACCCUGGUA
This 434-nucleotide ribosomal RNA is filed under the name uncultured Clostridium sp. RNAcentral describes it as "partial 16S ribosomal RNA". It matches the Rfam family "Bacterial small subunit ribosomal RNA", at positions 341 to 792 of the family's 1533-position model. The record is from RNAcentral. Lineage: Bacteria; Bacillati; Bacillota; Clostridia; Eubacteriales; Clostridiaceae.